Molecule: ribosomal RNA, 243 nt
Filed under: uncultured bacterium
Lineage: Bacteria
Description: partial 16S ribosomal RNA
Rfam family: Bacterial small subunit ribosomal RNA
Source: RNAcentral
GCUAGCGUUGCUCGGAAUCACUGGGCGUAAAGCGCACGUAGGCGGAUCUUUAAGUCAGGGGUGAAAUCCCAAGGCUCAACCUUGGAACUGCCUUUGAUACUGGGGAUCUCGAGUCCGGAAGAGGUUGGUGGAACUGCGAGUGUAGAGGUGAAAUUCGUAGAUAUUCGCAAGAACACCAGUGGCGAAGGCGGCCAACUGGUCCGGUACUGACGCUGAGGUGCGAAAGCGUGGGGAGCAAACAGG